CACUGUCUGAAGCGCUGCUGUCAGAGGAGGAGGAGGAGGAGGAGGAGGAAGAGGAUGAACUGGAAUCCUGUGUACAAGAAGAAAAGCUUCUUCUUUUUCUUUUCCUUCUUGCCUUUGUCCUCCUCCUCGCUGUCUGAAGAUGGGGAGCUGUGGAAUGAGUACAAGUCAACCUGAAGGAGAGAGAGACUGCAAUUGUUACAACUUGACAGAUGGAUAUGACGGAGUAAAAUUAGAUGAUCGUCCUGCAGGGGCUCUGGGGUCCGUCUUGGCUGCGUUAGUGGUGUCGGUUGAAGACAGCCCUCCAUGCUCUUCCAGCUUCUGUUCACUCCUCCCAGGCUGGAGUUCAUCCAGCGUGCUCAGGACAACUUGUCCUCCCUCUCCAUCUCCAGGCCCUCCCCCUGGAGCUACACAAACCAGCAUAGAUUACCGUACUACACAGUUAUAUGUUCCAUUCACAAAUCAAUAUGUUUAUUGUAUUGUAUUGUACGGGUUGUACUAUAAUUUCAGUCAUCUUAGCCUUGUACAAAUCACCUAUCCUAUUGUACAAAUCACCUACACACUGAGGCUUUUGCGGUGCGAACAACAUUAAAAACAAUACAAAAAAACAAUAACCAGAGUAUCAAAAAUGCAUAGGUACUGAUCAUGUAUGAACGGCAUAAGUGUUUUAAUAUUAUGGAUAAAACAUUAUCUGAUGGCUUUCCUUAUUUCUCACACUGUACUCCAUCCCAUGUAAUGAUGCAUUCGCCUCAGAGUACAUUUGUAGCCAUAAUGCACAAACCAAAUUGACUACAUCUACAUAUUGUCUGUUCUAAGUAGAAGAAGUAGCAGAUACAUUCAUUUUGCAGGUUGACUGACAACAACAGUGGAGAAUUGCAUGAUGUUUUUUGAUUUCAGAUGUUUUUGGACCACACCCCUGCAUGAUUGCAAAGAAAUACUAAUAAUUGUACAGCUUUAAACUACAGCUCACUGCUUCAAAUGUCAUAUAUCUACAUUUUCCAAUUACACCUAAAGUAGAAUGGGGUGGAAUAUACAGUUGGUGAUAAUGAGAAAUGAUUGUUACUUUUACCGGGGAACAUCCUUAAAGAACGAGACCCAUUACAUGUUUAGACCACAUCAAGCUUUAAACAUACAGUAUGCCGGUAAUCUAUAAAGGCAUGUGCGCUAAUGUCACCAAAGGUGCGCUAAAGUCACCAAAGGUGCGCUACAGUCACCAAAGGUGAGCAAAAGUCACUAAAAGUGCAUAGAUCACCAUACCUUUGGGUCGGUUGAACUCCAUUCAACUCAACAGCCGCUCCAGUUACACCUUGC
This is a long non-coding RNA of Oncorhynchus tshawytscha (Chinook salmon), 1308 nucleotides long. The record is from Ensembl. Lineage: Eukaryota; Metazoa; Chordata; Actinopteri; Salmoniformes; Salmonidae.